GCUGGGUGUGGUGGUGUGCACCUGUAAUCCCAACUACUCAGGAGACUGAGGCAGGAGAAUUGCUUGAACCCAGGAGGUGGAGGUUGUAGUGAGCCGAGAUUGUGCCACUGCACUCCAGCCUGGGUGACAGAGCAAGAUUCUGUCUCAA
This is an unclassified non-coding RNA of Pongo abelii (Sumatran orangutan), 148 nucleotides long. It matches the Rfam family "Metazoan signal recognition particle RNA". From Rfam's summary of the family: The signal recognition particle (SRP) is a universally conserved ribonucleoprotein. It is involved in the co-translational targeting of proteins to membranes. The record is from Ensembl. NCBI's taxonomy places the organism in Eukaryota, Metazoa, Chordata, Mammalia, Primates, Hominidae.